AGCCUAACACAUGCAAGUCGAACGAGAAACCAGAGCUUGCUCUGGCGGAAAGUGGCAGACGGGUGAGUAACGCGUGGGAAUUUACCCAGUGGUACGGAAUAACUCAGGGAAACUUGUGCUAAUACCGUAUACGCCCUUCGGGGGAAAGAUUUAUCGCCAUUGGAUGAGCCCGCGUUAGAUUAGUUUGUUGGUGGGGUAAUGGCCUACCAAGACUACGAUCUAUAGCUGGUCUGAGAGGAUGAUCAGCCACACUGGGACUGAGACACGGCCCAGACUCCUACGGGAGGCAGCAGUGGGGAAUAUUGCACAAUGGGCGCAAGCCUGAUGCAGCCAUGCCGCGUGAGUGAAGAAGGCCUUAGGGUUGUAAAACUCUUUCACCGGUGAAGAUAAUGACGGUAGCCGGAGAAGAAGCCCCGGCUAACUCCGUGCCAGCAGCCGCGGUAAUACGGAGGGGGCUAGCGUUGUUCGGAAUUACUGGGCGUAAAGCGCGCGUAGGCGGAUUGGUCAGUUGGGGGUGAAAUCCCGAGGCUUAACCUCGGAACUGCCCUCAAUACUGCCAGUCUAGAGUUCGGAAGAGGUAAGUGGAAUUCCUAGUGUAGAGGUGAAAUUCGUAGAUAUUAGGAAGAACACCAGUGGCGAAGGCGGCUUAC
RNAcentral lists this ribosomal RNA (650 nucleotides) under uncultured bacterium. RNAcentral's name for it is "bacterial SSU rRNA". It matches the Rfam family "Bacterial small subunit ribosomal RNA", at positions 45 to 729 of the family's 1533-position model. The record is from RNAcentral.